AACUCCCAUGUACGGCAUGUACCGUUUGUUCAAAUAAUUUGAAUGAUUGUGAUUUCAUGUCUGUUCAGAAAGGUUUUUGAAUCGCUGAUAUUACAUUAAGUGAACCCAAUUUAGAGAGCUACGACUUAUAUAUUUGGACUACACUAUGUCUCAAAUAUCUUUGCGACAAUUACGUCGCGGUCCAACCACUACUCUAAUCUUUACAAUUCUACAGUUGAAUGGGGAGCCUUAUACAAUAUCAUAUGAUAAAACGAUUACCAUUGAUAACUUAAUUGAGGCUUCUGUAAAAUUUGAGGACUUCAAAUGCACGUUUCUAUUUCUACCAUAUGUAAGAAUGAAACAAAUGGAAGGUGUAAAAAAUUCUUCAGUCCCUAUUACAAUCCAAUGUGGGACAUUUAAAGAAUUGUUUUUUUGCUCUGCCCAAUGGAUUGAAGUACAGUUGAAAGCAGUGCUGCCUAUUUCAAUUGAAAAAACGAAUUUUAAUUGCGACACAAUAAUUCAACUUGUUACACAAUUGAAAUCAAUGCUACUGUGCAAGUCAUAACGCCAACAGCUUUUCUGCCAAGAAAAGAACUCUAUGAAGAUACAGAGUCCACAGAUUUUCAACUGCACACAAAAGAUGGCACUGUGGCAGUACACAAGGCAGUACUGUUCCUUCAUAGUGACAUGUUCAAAAUGAUGUUGACGAAGGACUGGAAGGAAUCAAACGAAGGUCAGAUUAGUAUGGACGGUAUCACUGUCCAGACACUUAGACACCUAAAGGACUACAUGUACUUGGGUAUUCUGCCAGAAGAAGGCUUGGAGCCACUACUGCAAGUUGCUGCACACUACUUCAUGGACAAGCUGAGAGCUGAUUGCUCGGCUAAGCUAGUAGAAUCGGUGAAUUCAGGGAACAUUGAUAGGCUUAUUGCUCUGGGUUGCGAGUUUAAUAUACCUGAAUUGAUGCGAGGUCUAAUAUUUAGAAUUCCAGACAAUGUUAUUAAUGAUAUGAAUUAUUUUAAGGAAAUUGUUAAGGAAAAGAAUUAAAUGAGUUCAUAUUUCUUUUGAAAAAUUAAAUGAAUGAUAGUUAUUUUUUCUGUAAUAUGUUGUGAGAUGUCAUCAUCAUCAUUUCUACUUCUUCGAGUAUGCCACUUAUUCGGGUCCUGAGCUAAUUUCAUCCAGUGAAAUGUAUAGGAUACUUAAUAUCAUAAGGUAGGUAGGUAACUUUUUCUAAUUGCUAAAAUUAAUUUAAAGAGCAUGAAUUAUAGUUCGUUUUUUUAUCAUUAAAAAAGGGUUGCCCAAACUUA
This is a long non-coding RNA of Cydia pomonella (codling moth), 1286 nucleotides long. RefSeq lists it as uncharacterized. The transcript is spliced from 2 exons. NCBI's taxonomy places the organism in Eukaryota, Metazoa, Arthropoda, Insecta, Lepidoptera, Tortricidae. The record is from RefSeq and is a predicted model, not a curated record.